This 253-nucleotide ribosomal RNA is filed under the name uncultured Armatimonadota bacterium. RNAcentral's name for it is "uncultured Armatimonadetes bacterium partial 16S ribosomal RNA". It matches the Rfam family "Bacterial small subunit ribosomal RNA", at positions 524 to 776 of the family's 1533-position model. The record is from RNAcentral. Lineage: Bacteria; Bacillati; Armatimonadota.
UACGUAGGGGGCAAGCGUUGUCCGGAUUUACUGGGCGUAAAGCGCGUGUAGGCGGUCUCUUAAGUCCGGGGUGAAAGGCGGGGGCUCAACCCCCGAGCUGCGCCGGAAACUGGGAGACUUGAGUGUCGGAGAGGGAAGUGGAAUUCCUGGUGUAGCGGUGAAAUGCGUAGAGAUCAGGAGGAACACCCGUGGCGAAGGCGGCUUCCUGGCCGAACACUGACGCUGAGACGCGAAAGCGUGGGGAGCGAACGGG